Molecule: ribosomal RNA, 1385 nt
Filed under: uncultured bacterium
Lineage: Bacteria
Description: 16S ribosomal RNA
Rfam family: Bacterial small subunit ribosomal RNA
Source: RNAcentral
AGAGUUUGAUCCUGGCUCAGGAUGAACGCUGGCGGCAUGCCUAAUACAUGCAAGUCGAACGAGGGUCCUUCGGGACUCGAGUGGCGAACGGGUGAGUAACACGUAGGGAACCUGCCCGUGCGACCGGGAGAACUUUCGGAAACGGAAGCUGAUACCGGAUAGGGACAGAGACGGCAUCGACUCUGUGUUAAAGGAGCUGAAAGGCUCCGCGCACGGAUGGACCUGCGGUGCAUUAGCUAGUUGGUGAGGUAACGGCCCACCAAGGCGACGAUGCAUAGCCGGCCUGAGAGGGCGGACGGCCACACUGGGACUGAGACACGGCCCAGACUCCUACGGGAGGCAGCAGUAGGGAAUUUUCGUCAAUGGGCGCAAGCCUGAACGAGCAAUGCCGCGUGAACGAGGAAGGUCUUCGGAUCGUAAAGUUCUGUUGAAGGGGAAAAAGAGCGGAGAGAGGAAAUGAACUCCGAUUGAUAUUACCCUUCGAGGAAGUCACGGCUAACUACGUGCCAGCAGCCGCGGUAAUACGUAGGUGGCGAGCGUUAUCCGGAAUGAUUGGGCGUAAAGGGUGCGUAGGCGGCCUGCUAAGUCUGGAGUGAAAGGUACCGGCUCAACCGGUACAGGCUCUGGAAACUGGCGGGCUAGAGAGCAGGAGAGGGCGGUGGAACUCCAUGUGUAGCGGUAAAAUGCGUAGAUAUAUGGAAGAACACCAGUGGCGAAGGCGGCCGCCUGGCCUGUUACUGACGCUGAGGCACGAAAGCGUGGGGAGCAAAUAGGAUUAGAUACCCUAGUAGUCCACGCCGUAAACGAUGAGGACCAAGUGUUGGGGAAGACCCAGUGCUGCAGUUAACGCAGUGAGUCCUCCGCCUGGGGAGUAUGCACGCAAGUGUGAAACUCAAAGGAAUUGACGGGAGCCCGCACAAGCGGUGGAGUAUGUGGUUUAAUUCGAAGCAACGCGAAGAACCUUACCAGGCCUUGACAUAGGGUGCGAAGCUAUGGAGACAUAGUGGAGGUAAACAUCCAUACAGGUGGUGCAUGGUUGUCGUCAGCUCGUGUCGUGAGAUGUUCAGUUAAGUCUGGCAACGAGCGCAACCCUCGUGAUGUGUUACCAAUAUCGAGUUAGGGACUCACAUCAGACUGCCGGUGAGAAACCGGAGGAAGGCGGGGAUGACGUCAAAUCAUCAUGCCCCUUAUGGCCUGGGCUACACACGUACUACAAUGGCGGCGACAGAGGGCAGCGAGCCUGCGAAGGCAAGCGAAUCCCCAAAAAGCCGUCCCAGUUCGGAUUGGAGUCUGCAACCCGACUCCAUGAAGUUGGAAUCGCUAGUAAUCGCGGAUCAGCAUGCCGCGGUGAAUACGUUCUCGGGCCUUGCACACACCGCCCGUCA